RNAcentral lists this ribosomal RNA (271 nucleotides) under Klebsiella aerogenes. RNAcentral describes it as "partial 23S ribosomal RNA". It matches the Rfam family "Bacterial large subunit ribosomal RNA", at positions 1 to 272 of the family's 2925-position model. Lineage: Bacteria; Pseudomonadati; Pseudomonadota; Gammaproteobacteria; Enterobacterales; Enterobacteriaceae. The record is from RNAcentral.
GGUUAAGUGACUAAGCGUACACGGUGGAUGCCCUGGCAGUCAGAGGCGAUGAAGGACGUGCUAAUCUGCGAAAAGCGUCGGUAAGGUGAUAUGAACCGUUACAGCCGGCGAUGUCCGAAUGGGGAAACCCAGUGCAAUUCGUUGCACUAUCGUUAACUGAAUACAUAGGUUAACGAGGCGAACCGGGGGAACUGAAACAUCUAAGUACCCCGAGGAAAAGAAAUCAACCGAGAUUCCCCCAGUAGCGGCGAGCGAACGGGGAGCAGCCCAG